AAAACUCUAUCCAUCAUUUGUUUUAUUGCUGUAGUUGAAGCCUGUCGCUUAAAGAUGGUACUUAAAAUGUCAUAGCAUCAUCAAGCUAAGUGUGCCAGUGACAUCUAAGUUGAAGCAGUUGAAAGAGCAGCCUUUGUUGAAGAGCAAUAAUACUAGAAUUUGUGAAGAAGACCAAGUGAUCAAUUUGUUUCCAGUGAAAGUGGUGAAAUAGAGGACCAGACCAUUGUGACUAGUAUAGAGCAAAGGUAUGAUAGAGCAACCAUCAGGAAUAAUUUAAAGCAAGCACUUCUCGAAAGUAAUAUGAAAUUGCAGAAGAGAGCAAGAAAACUGAGAGAGCAGACUCACUGAAAAAGCUUGCUGUGGAUAACAAGGACUGCGGAUAAAAGGAUCCAUGCCCGGCACUUCUGAUGUGUUGGUUGAAGAAGCUUUGAAAAUUUGAUAUGUCUACUAAGAACAAUUGCAAGAUACAAGACUGUGAAGAGAUGAAUUUGUCAGAAACAAGCGCCUGUCUCUGAGUCAGCUGAUCUAAUAAAUCACCCUUUCCUAAUUA
This is a long non-coding RNA of Anolis carolinensis (green anole), 550 nucleotides long. RefSeq lists it as uncharacterized. Lineage: Eukaryota; Metazoa; Chordata; Lepidosauria; Squamata; Anolidae. The record is from RefSeq and is a predicted model, not a curated record. The transcript has 2 exons.